UACGGAGGGUGCGAGCGUUAAUCGGAAUUACUGGGCGUAAAGCGCGCGUAGGCGGUCUGAUCAGCCGGUUGUGAAAGCCCUGGGCUCAACCUGGGAAUUGCAUUGGAUACUGGAGGGCUAGAGUGCGGUAGAGGGUAGUGGAAUUCCCGGUGUAGCAGUGAAAUGCGUAGAUAUCGGGAGGAACAUCCGUGGCGAAGGCGACUGCCUGGACCAGCACUGACACUGAGGCACGAAAGCGUGGGGAGCAAACAGGAUUAGAUA
RNAcentral lists this ribosomal RNA (261 nucleotides) under uncultured prokaryote. Its description in RNAcentral is "partial 16S ribosomal RNA". It matches the Rfam family "Bacterial small subunit ribosomal RNA", at positions 524 to 784 of the family's 1533-position model. The record is from RNAcentral.